Molecule: ribosomal RNA, 500 nt
Filed under: uncultured bacterium
Lineage: Bacteria
Description: bacterial SSU rRNA
Rfam family: Bacterial small subunit ribosomal RNA
Source: RNAcentral
AACGAACGCUGGCGGAAUGCUUUACACAUGCAAGUCGAACGGCAGCACGGGUGCUUGCACCUGGUGGCGAGUGGCGAACGGGUGAGUAAUGCGUCGGAACGUGCCGAGUAAUGGGGGAUAACGCAGCGAAAGUUGUGCUAAUACCGCAUACGCCCUGAGGGGGAAAGUGGGGGAUCGCAAGACCUCACGUUAUUCGAGCGGCCGACGUCUGAUUAGCUAGUUGGUGGGGUAAAGGCCUACCAAGGCGACGAUCAGUAGCGGGUCUGAGAGGAUGAUCCGCCACACUGGGACUGAGACACGGCCCAGACUCCUACGGGAGGCAGCAGUGGGGAAUCUUGCGCAAUGGGGGAAACCCUGACGCAGCAACGCCGCGUGGGUGAUGAAGGCCCUUGGGUCGUAAAGCCCUGUCUGGAGGAAGAAGCCCGCUCUCGCUAAUAUCGGGGGCGGAUGACGGUACCUCUGAAGGAAGCACCGGCUAACUCCGUGCCAGCAGCCGACGG